UGUAAGUGAAGACCAGGGGCCACAGAGGCAAUGAAAACUUAUUCUAAGUGUGACACUUUCAACUCCCCUUACUCUACAACAAGCUCCAUCUUUGACCAGCACUAAGAGGAGGAAAAUGAUACCUCAAUAAGACAAGAAGACAAAAGAACAGAUUCCCUGCCUUACUCUGGUGAUCUCGAGGUCUAAGCAUGCAUCCUCCUCUUGGCAUUAUGUGUGACAUAUACUUCUCUGGGAGAGGAAGCUGAAGGUUUGAUCCCCUGACUCGCAGGAUGAGUGUGCCAGCAUUGCUCUAUCAUCUCCAUGCCUCUCCACUCAUUACAGGCAUGCUUCUUCUGAAGACCUUCACAGGCAGACCUGUGGCACAGAUGGCGUGUUCCUGGUUGGCUGCUUAUAACUACCUCUCCAAACUUGACUUCUGCUGGGUCCCCUCUCCUUAAUUUGCUAAUCAUUAGCAUUUU
RNAcentral lists this long non-coding RNA (458 nucleotides) under Equus caballus (horse). Its description in RNAcentral is "lncRNA (ENSECAG00000053546.1)". The record is from RNAcentral. Lineage: Eukaryota; Metazoa; Chordata; Mammalia; Perissodactyla; Equidae.